AGAGUUUGAUCCUGGCUCAGAGCGAACGCUGGCGGCAGGCUUAACACAUGCAAGUCGAGCGGGCACUUCGGUGUCAGCGGCAGACGGGUGAGUAACACGUGGGAACGUACCCUUUGGUUCGGAAUAACGCUGGGAAACUAGCGCUAAUACCGGAUACGCCCUUUUGGGGAAAGGCUUGCUGCCGAAGGAUCGGCCCGCGUCUGAUUAGCUAGUUGGUGGGGUAAUGGCCUACCAAGGCGACGAUCAGUAGCUGGUCUGAGAGGAUGAUCAGCCACACUGGGACUGAGACACGGCCCAGACUCCUACGGGAGGCAGCAGUGGGGAAUAUUGGACAAUGGGCGCAAGCCUGAUCCAGCCAUGCCGCGUGAGUGAUGAAGGCCUUAGGGUUGUAAAGCUCUUUUGUCCGGGACGAUAAUGACGGUACCGGAAGAAUAAGCCCCGGCUAACUUCGUGCCAGCAGCCGCGGUAAUACGAAGGGGGCUAGCGUUGCUCGGAAUCACUGGGCGUAAAGGGCGCGUAGGCGGCGUUUUAAGUCGGGGGUGAAAGCCUGUGGCUCAACCACAGAAUGGCCUUCGAUACUGGGACGCUUGAGUAUGGUAGAGGUUGGUGGAACUGCGAGUGUAGAGGUGAAAUUCGUAGAUAUUCGCAAGAACACCGGUGGCGAAGGCGGCCAACUGGACCAUUACUGACGCUGAGGCGCGAAAGCGUGGGGAGCAAACAGGAUUAGAUACCCUAGUAGUCC
RNAcentral lists this ribosomal RNA (742 nucleotides) under uncultured bacterium. RNAcentral's name for it is "bacterial SSU rRNA". It matches the Rfam family "Bacterial small subunit ribosomal RNA", at positions 8 to 796 of the family's 1533-position model. The record is from RNAcentral.